Long non-coding RNA from Astyanax mexicanus (Mexican tetra), 660 nucleotides. RefSeq lists it as uncharacterized. NCBI's taxonomy places the organism in Eukaryota, Metazoa, Chordata, Actinopteri, Characiformes, Acestrorhamphidae. The transcript is spliced from 3 exons. The record is from RefSeq and is a predicted model, not a curated record.
CCUGAAGCUUGAGGUCUGAGGAUAAAUGCAGUCCUGAAGCUUGAGGUCUGAUGAUAAAUGCAGUCCUGAAGCUUGAGGUAUAAGUAGAAAUGCUGUCUUGAAGCUUUAGAUCUGAGGAUAGAUGCUGUCCUGAAGCUUGAGGUCUGAGGAGAAAUGCAGUCCUGAAGCUUGAGGUCUGAGGAGAAAUGCUGUCCUGAAGCUUGAUGUCUGAGGAUAAAUGCAGUCCUGAAGCUUAAGGCUGUGAGGAUAAAUGCAGUCCUGAAGCUUGAAGUCUGAGGAUUAAUGCAGUCCUGAAGCUUUAGAUCUUGAGGAUAUAUGCUCUCCUGAAACUUAACAUCUUGAGGAUAAAUACAGUUCUAAUGCUUUAGAGCUUGAGUACAGAAACAGUCCUGAUGCUUUAGAUCAAAUUAGUCCUGAAGCUUUACACCUUGAGGUCAAAUUAGUCCUGACGCUUUAUACUUUGAGGACAAACACAACUCUGAUGCUUUAGAUCUAGGGAAAAAGGCUGUCCUGAAGCUUGAGGUCUGAGGUUGAACAUAGUCCCGACAAAUACAGUCCUGAUGCUUUAGAUCUAAGGAUAAUUGAUGUCCUGGAGCAUGAGGUCUCAGGACAAAUGUGGUCCUGAUCCUUUACAUGUUGAGGACAAAUGUAGUCUACAAU